Molecule: long non-coding RNA, 405 nt
Organism: Oppia nitens
Lineage: Eukaryota; Metazoa; Arthropoda; Arachnida; Sarcoptiformes; Oppiidae
Exons: 3
Source: RefSeq, a predicted model, not a curated record
AACGGACAGCCGCUAAACGAUACAACUGAUGAAACCUAUCAAAAUGAUUGCCUGUAUUGGCAUAACUAUUACCGAUCGCUGCAUCAAAAUACUGCACCUCCUGUCAGAAACAACUGGUUGGUAAACAUAGCCAAAGGUCGGUGUCAGGAUGUGUCGAAAAAACCGGGCCUAUCGGCCGGCCAUAGCGGCCUUACCGGUAAUAUUGGCGAAAAUUUGUUUUGGGUGGGCGCCCCGGGUAAUGUCAAUUUUGUGGCACCCUGCAAAAAUGCAUUGAUUGCUUGGCAUGAAGAGAUCAGAUUUUAUAAUUACUCGAAACCGGGUUUCUAUACACCGGCCGCACAUUUUACGCAACUUGUGUGGAACAGUAGCUCACAAGUAGGCUGUGCCCGAUGCAGUGGUAAUGGA